AAGUCGUAACAAGGUUUCCGUAGGUGAACCUGCGGAAGGAUCAUUAUUGAAUAUGCUUGAUGGGUUUGUAGCUGGCCCUUUGGGGCAUGUGCACGACCUGUCUUGACUUUAUUCAUCCACCUGUGCACCUUUUGUAGUCUCAUUGGGGGCUGACGAGUGACCAUCUCAGUUGAAGAGCUGGAUGUGAGGAUUGCCAAUGGCGGCUCUCCUCUGGGUCAUGGAUCUUCCUUGAGAGACUAUGUCUUUUAUCACAAACCAUGUAGUAUGUUGUCAGAAUGUAGUUAAUGGGCCUUCGUGCCUAUACAUCCUUAUACAACUUUCAGCAACGGAUCUCUUGGCUCUC
RNAcentral lists this unclassified non-coding RNA (343 nucleotides) under Leucoagaricus hesperius. Its description in RNAcentral is "partial internal transcribed spacer region". The stretch from base 1 to 46 matches the Rfam family "Eukaryotic small subunit ribosomal RNA", at positions 1786 to 1831 of the family's 1831-position model. Lineage: Eukaryota; Fungi; Basidiomycota; Agaricomycetes; Agaricales; Agaricaceae. The record is from RNAcentral.